GCAGUCUGUACUUCUGUAGCGAGCCCGGCAUGCAUUGCGUGUCGUGGGCGUUGUCACGGCAACCCGCAGCAAUGCUUUACAGCCGCAGCUCGCGAGAGUGUCGGAGAGGGAGAUCAGUAUAUCCUGGGCCCUGCUUGGAAGUCAGCAGGGCCCACAGGGGCAUAUAUGUAUAGCGGUACUAGCUAUGUAUAGAUGCACAUUGGAGGGUGG
Molecule: non-coding RNA, 210 nt
Organism: Pelobates cultripes (western spadefoot toad)
Lineage: Eukaryota; Metazoa; Chordata; Amphibia; Anura; Pelobatidae
Source: the annotation of a GenBank genome assembly